UUCUCGAUUUAAUAUCGAGCCCAUUUUUUACACCCUUGUAAGUCGAUUGCUUUUAAGCAUCGCCAUCAACCUCACAUAGCUUACUCUUGGGCUUUCUUACAAUGAGCCGGUUCCCUUACACUUACACGUUGUUUAAUGCUCAUUUAUUUCUUUUCUUUGAUUAUUUGAUUUGAUCACAUGUUUGUUUAAAUAUUUUACUUGUGUGAUUAACUGUGGCCUACUUGUAUGGUGUAUGAGGCAUAUACUUAUAUUGU
Molecule: long non-coding RNA, 254 nt
Filed under: Lathyrus oleraceus (garden pea)
Lineage: Eukaryota; Viridiplantae; Streptophyta; Magnoliopsida; Fabales; Fabaceae
Description: Pisum sativum (pea) long non-coding RNA (PSAT_LNC020249)
Source: RNAcentral